CGAAUCUCACGGGCUCGCGCCGGCGAUGGUUCAUACAAAUAUCUUCCCUAUCAAAUUUCGAUGUGGGGGUAUAGGGCAAACAUGGUCGCAACGGGUAACGGAGGGUUAAGGCUCGACCCCGCAGAAAGAGCCUGAGAAACGGCUACUACAUCCAAGGAAGGCAGCAGGCGCGCAAAUUACCCAAUCCCGAUUCGGGGAGGUAGUGACAAUAAAUACUGAUACAGGGCUCUUUUGGGUCUUGUAAUUGGAAUGAGUACAAUUUAAAUCUCUUAACGAGGAACAAUUGGAGGGCAAGUCUGG
Molecule: ribosomal RNA, 300 nt
Filed under: uncultured fungus
Lineage: Eukaryota; Fungi
Description: SSU rRNA
Rfam family: Eukaryotic small subunit ribosomal RNA
Source: RNAcentral